CUGUACCGAUCGUACCGAUAUACCGGUGCGGCCGGUACCGCUAUGGUACCAGUACCGAACCGAGUCGAACCGGUAUCGUACCAAAAGUGCAAUAGUGCGUGGCACUUAGCGCCUGGCUUUAGCCACGCGCUCUCCCAUGAAGAACACCCCAUACCGGUGCGAAACGAGCCGGUUCACACUGAUACAUGCCAUGAACCGAUCGGUUCUCACCCAAAUCUGGUUCGAAACCGAUUUUAAUAGCCGUACGGCACCGGUACGAGCGGAACCGACCAUGGUAGCAACCAUAAGUCAAACAUCAAUUUAAUAGUAGAAUUAGAUCCAAAAUUCCAAUGCCACUGUGCAAACUAGUUGUUAGUAUGUUAGCAUGUUAGAUAUCAUUGAGGGCUCGUUUGGUUCGCGGGAAAAAAAAGGGGGAAAGUGUGGUCAACGGGAAAGUAAUGAUAUACCUCUUGUUUGGUUGGAGUUUUCAAAGGAGAGAGAAGGGAAAGUUGUAUUCCCAUGGGAAUGUGAUUCCCAUAUUUCA
Molecule: long non-coding RNA, 523 nt
Filed under: Phoenix dactylifera (date palm)
Lineage: Eukaryota; Viridiplantae; Streptophyta; Magnoliopsida; Arecales; Arecaceae
Description: long non-coding RNA (PDAC_LNC018663)
Source: RNAcentral